This 289-nucleotide long non-coding RNA is filed under the name Vigna radiata. RNAcentral describes it as "long non-coding RNA (VRAD_LNC004396)". Lineage: Eukaryota; Viridiplantae; Streptophyta; Magnoliopsida; Fabales; Fabaceae. The record is from RNAcentral.
GUUGCCUUCCGUCUUGGUCUUUGCGAAGUACAUGCCGUCUUUAGUAAGUAGUUUGGCAACUCCAUGAUUAACGCCAUGACAUGACUGGAGGAUCUGUGAUGAUCAGAGGAGAAGUUGUGAGAAGAUUGUGUUUGGAUGAUUGAAUAGAUAUGGAAGAACCAAGAUGAUGAAAUUCAAGAGAAUUAGAGGAAGAAAAGAAAUGGCAGAAAUCCUGAGAAUGGAGAUGGAAAAUCAGAGGAACGACACGAUUUCAAAAGAUUCAUUAUUCUAUUUGAAAAAAAUUAGAAAU